RNAcentral lists this ribosomal RNA (484 nucleotides) under uncultured bacterium. RNAcentral describes it as "partial 16S ribosomal RNA". It matches the Rfam family "Bacterial small subunit ribosomal RNA", at positions 29 to 507 of the family's 1533-position model. The record is from RNAcentral.
AAUGAACGCUGGCGGCGCGCCUUACGCAUGCAAGUCGAGCGGAAAGAGAGGGCUUUGCCUUUGAUCUAGCGUGGGGGGGUGGAGUGGUACAUAUGGGUCAUCCUGGCAGUAGGUGGUGACAUCUGGUAGCGGGCGCAGGUACCACAGACGUCCUGAGGGAUAAAGUGGGGGGUCUUGAGGCAUCGCGGUAUCGGCUGAGCCUGCGUCGGAUUAGCUAGCUGGUGGGGUAAAGGCCUACCAAGGCGACGAUCCGUAACUGGUCUGAGAGGAUGAUCAGUCACACUGGAACUGAGACACGGUCCAGACUCCUACGGGAGGCAGCAGCGGGGAAUAUUGCACAAUGGGCGAAAGCCUGAUCCAGCCAUGCCGCGUGUGUGAAGAAGGUCUUCGGAUUGUAAAGCACUUUAAGUUGGGAGGAAGGGCAGUAAGUUAAUACCUUGCUGUUUUGACGUUACCCAAAGAAUAAGCCCCGGCUAACUUCGUG